UAAGAGACUAAGUGUUUUGUGGCUGUUUCUGGCCUAGCAAAACAUCGAAAAAUCAAUCAGAAAAUAAGCCUGUAGAAAGCUCUUUAGUUGCUUGUUUGGACCCGGGUUCGAUUCCCGGCGACUCCACAA
This 129-nucleotide transfer-messenger RNA is filed under the name Flavobacterium sp. RNAcentral's name for it is "partial transfer-messenger RNA". It matches the Rfam family "transfer-messenger RNA", at positions 236 to 374 of the family's 374-position model. Rfam says of the family: Bacterial tmRNA, also known as 10Sa RNA or SsrA, is named for its dual tRNA and mRNA-like properties. Lineage: Bacteria; Pseudomonadati; Bacteroidota; Flavobacteriia; Flavobacteriales; Flavobacteriaceae. The record is from RNAcentral.